GAGCGUUAAUCGGAAUUACUGGGCGUAAAGCGCACGCAGGCGGUUUGUUAAGCUAGAUGUGAAAGCCCCGGGCUCAACCUGGGAUGGUCAUUUAGAACUGGCAGACUAGAGUCUUGGAGAGGGGAGUGGAAUUCCAGGUGUAGCGGUGAAAUGCGUAGAUAUCUGGAGGAACAUCAGUGGCGAAGGCGACUCCCUGGCCAAAGACUGACGCUCAUGUGCGAAAGUGUGGGUAGCGAACAGGAUUAGAUACCCUGGUAGUCCACACCGUAAACGCUGUCUACUAGCUGUUUGUGACUUUAAGUCGUGAGUAGCGAAGCUAACGCGCUAAGUAGACCGCCUGGGGAGUACGGCCGCAAGGUUAAAACUCAAAUGAAUUGACGGGGGCCCGCACAAGCGGUGGAGCAUGUGGUUUAAUUCGAUGCAACGCGAAGAACCUUACCUACACUUGACAUGCAGAGAACUUUCUAGAGAUAGAUUGGUGCCUUCGGGAACUCUGACACAGGUGCUGCAUGGCUGUCGUCAGCUCGUGUCGUGAGAUGUUGGGUUAAGUCCCGCAACGAGCGCAACCCUUGUCCUUAGUUGCCAGCAUUAAGUUGGGCACUCUAAGGAGACUGCCGGUGACAAACCGGAGGAAGGUGGGGACGACGUCAAGUCAUCAUGGCCCUUACGUGUAGGGCUACACACGUGCUACAAUGGCAUUUACAGAGGGAAGCGAGACAGUGAUGUGGAGCGGACCCCUUAAAGAAUGUCGUAGUCCGGAUUGGAGUCUGCAACUCGACUCCAUGAAGUC
This 790-nucleotide ribosomal RNA is filed under the name uncultured Gammaproteobacteria bacterium. Its description in RNAcentral is "bacterial SSU rRNA". It matches the Rfam family "Bacterial small subunit ribosomal RNA", at positions 536 to 1327 of the family's 1533-position model. Lineage: Bacteria; Pseudomonadati; Pseudomonadota; Gammaproteobacteria. The record is from RNAcentral.